RNAcentral lists this ribosomal RNA (386 nucleotides) under Kocuria palustris. Its description in RNAcentral is "bacterial SSU rRNA". It matches the Rfam family "Bacterial small subunit ribosomal RNA", at positions 173 to 573 of the family's 1533-position model. Lineage: Bacteria; Bacillati; Actinomycetota; Actinomycetes; Micrococcales; Micrococcaceae. The record is from RNAcentral.
GCUACAUGUCACCGCAUGGUGGUGUGUGGAAAGGGUUUACUGGUCUUGGAUGGGCUCACGGCCUAUCAGCUUGUUGGUGAGGUAAUGGCUCACCAAGGCGACGACGGGUAGCCGGCCUGAGAGGGUGACCGGCCACACUGGGACUGAGACACGGCCCAGACUCCUACGGGAGGCAGCAGUGGGGAAUAUUGCACAAUGGGCGAAAGCCUGAUGCAGCGACGCCGCGUGAGGGAUGACGGCCUUCGGGUUGUAAACCUCUUUCAGCAGGGAAGAAGCCACAAGUGACGGUACCUGCAGAAGAAGCGCCGGCUAACUACGUGCCAGCAGCCGCGGUAAUACGUAGGGCGCAAGCGUUGUCCGGAAUUAUUGGGCGUAAAGAGCUCGUA